Molecule: transfer RNA, 73 nt
Filed under: Curculionoidea sp. 26 KM-2017
Lineage: Eukaryota; Metazoa; Arthropoda; Insecta; Coleoptera
Description: tRNA-Leu
Source: RNAcentral
AUUAUUUUGGCAGAUUAGUGCGGGGGAUUUAGGAUCUUUAAAUGUACAUAAUUUUUUAUUAUUACAAGUAAUA